This 234-nucleotide non-coding RNA is filed under the name unclassified sequences. The record is from Rfam.
CGCAGAUGCUAAGGCUAUUAUUGAGCAGUACCAUUCUGCUUAAGUGAUGCGGAUUUUGACAGAAACCGUGUGGUAAAAGUGCGGUCCUGUUUGGUAUGUACUACAUCGGGGGCCGUAACCUCGUUACAGUAAUAACGACAGUGCUACGCUACACAGCGCCCAAACAGGUGCAAAAGUUUUGGGUAAACAAAAAUGGGGGAAAGCCGUCUGUGAAACCACCACAGGCGGUUUUUC